AAUCAACGCUGGCGGCGUGCCUAACACAUGCAAGUCGAACGAGAAAGUGGAGCAAUCCAUGAGUAAAGUGGCGACCGGGUGAGUAACACGUGACUAACCUACCCUCGAGUGGGGAAUAACCUCGGGAAACCGAGGCUAAUACCGCAUAACAUCGCAAGAUCAAAGCAGCAAUGCGCUUGAGGAGGGGGUCGCGGCUGAUUAGCUAGUUGGUAGGGUAAUGGCCUACCAAGGCUUAGAUCGGUAGCCGGCCUGAGAGGGCGCACGGCCACACUGGAAC
This 277-nucleotide ribosomal RNA is filed under the name uncultured bacterium. RNAcentral describes it as "partial 16S ribosomal RNA". It matches the Rfam family "Bacterial small subunit ribosomal RNA", at positions 32 to 319 of the family's 1533-position model. The record is from RNAcentral.